This 425-nucleotide ribosomal RNA is filed under the name uncultured bacterium. Its description in RNAcentral is "partial 16S ribosomal RNA". It matches the Rfam family "Bacterial small subunit ribosomal RNA", at positions 354 to 796 of the family's 1533-position model. The record is from RNAcentral.
GUGGGGAAUAUUGGACAAUGGGCGCAAGCCUGAUCCAGCCAUGCCGCGUGAGUGAUGAAGGCCCUAGGGUUGUAAAGCUCUUUCACCGGUGAAGAUAAUGACGGUAACCGGAGAAGAAGCCCCGGCUAACUUCGUGCCAGCAGCCGCGGUAAUACGAAGGGGGCUAGCGUUGUUCGGAAUUACUGGGCGUAAAGCGCACGUAGGCGGGUAUUUAAGUCAGGGGUGAAAUCCCGGAGCUCAACUCCGGAACUGCCUUUGAUACUGGGUACCUAGAGUAUGGAAGAGGUAAGUGGAAUUCCGAGUGUAGAGGUGAAAUUCGUAGAUAUUCGGAGGAACACCAGUGGCGAAGGCGGCUUACUGGUCCAUUACUGACGCUGAGGUGCGAAAGCGUGGGGAGCAAACAGGAUUAGAAACCCCAGUAGUCC